Molecule: ribosomal RNA, 455 nt
Filed under: uncultured bacterium
Lineage: Bacteria
Description: bacterial SSU rRNA
Rfam family: Bacterial small subunit ribosomal RNA
Source: RNAcentral
UACGGAAGGCAGCAGUGGGGAAUAUUGCACAAUGGGCGCAAGCCUGAUGCAGCCAUGCCGCGUGUAUGAAGAAGGCCUUCGGGUUGUAAAGUACUUUCAGUCGUGAGGAAGAUGUUAAGGUUAAUAACCUUAGCAAUUGACGUUAGCGACAGAAGAAGCACCGGCUAACUCCGUGCCAGCAGCCGCGGUAAUACGGAGGGUGCGAGCGUUAAUCGGAAUUACUGGGCGUAAAGGGCACGCAGGCGGUUAAUUAAGUUGGAUGUGAAAUCCCCGGGCUUAACCUGGGAAUGGCAUUCAAGACUGGUUAGCUAGAGUCUUGUAGAGGGGGUAGAAUUCCAUGUGUAGCGGUGAAAUGCGUAGAGAUGUGGAGGAAUACCGGUGGCGAAGGCGGCCCCUGGGACAAAGACUGACGCUCAUGUGCGAAAGCGUGGGGAGCGAAACAGGAUUUAGAUACC